UACGAAGGGGGCUAGCGUUGCUCGGAAUUACUGGGCGUAAAGGGCGCGUAGGCGGAUAGUUUAGUCAGAGGUGAAAGCCCAGGGCUCAACCUUGGAAUUGCCUUUGAUACUGGCUAUCUUGAGUAUGGGAGAGGUUAGCGGAACUCCGAGUGUAGAGGUGAAAUUCGUAGAUAUUCGGAAGAACACCAGUGGCGAAGGCGGCUAACUGGCCCAUUACUGACGCUGAGGCUCGAAAGCGUGGGGAGCAAACAGG
Molecule: ribosomal RNA, 253 nt
Filed under: uncultured bacterium
Lineage: Bacteria
Description: partial 16S ribosomal RNA
Rfam family: Bacterial small subunit ribosomal RNA
Source: RNAcentral